GCUCCAGUAGCGUAUAUUAAAGUUGUUGCAGUUAAAAAGCUCGUAGUCGAACUUCGGGCCUGGCGGGACGGUCCGCCUUACGGUGUGUACUGUCCGGCCGGGUCUUACCUCCUGGUGAGGCCGUAUGCCUUUACUGGGUGUGCGGUGGAACCAGGAAUUUUACCUUGAGAAAAUUAGAGUGUUCAAAGCAGGCAUAUGCC
Molecule: ribosomal RNA, 200 nt
Filed under: uncultured eukaryote
Lineage: Eukaryota
Description: partial 18S ribosomal RNA
Rfam family: Eukaryotic small subunit ribosomal RNA
Source: RNAcentral